AUUGAACGCUGGCGGCAUGCCUAACACAUGCAAGUCGAACGGCAGCACGGUCCAGUUUACUGGAUGGGUGGCGAGUGGCGGACGGGUGAGUAACGCAUAGGAAUAUGCCUUGAAGAGGGGGAUAACUUGGGGAAACUCAAGCUAGUACCGCAUAAUCUCUUAGGAGGAAAGCUGGGGACCUUCGGGCCUGGCGCUUGAAGAUUAGCAUGCUUACGAUUAGCUAGUUGGGGGGGUAAGGGCCUACCAAGGCGACGAUCGUUAGCGGGUCUGAGAGGAUGGCCAGCCACACUGGAACUGAGACACGGUCCAGACUCCUACGGGAGGCAGCAGUGGGGAAUAUUGGACAAUGGGGGGAACCCUGAUCCAGCAAUGCCGCGUGUGUGAAGAAGGCCUGAGGGUUGUAAAGCACUUUCAGUGGGGAGGAGGGUUGACAGGUUAAGAGCUAGUUAAUUGGACGUUACCCACAGAAGAAGCACCGGCUAACUCCGUGCCAGCCGCCGCAGUAA
This 506-nucleotide ribosomal RNA is filed under the name uncultured bacterium. RNAcentral describes it as "partial 16S ribosomal RNA". It matches the Rfam family "Bacterial small subunit ribosomal RNA", at positions 29 to 523 of the family's 1533-position model. The record is from RNAcentral.